Molecule: ribosomal RNA, 47 nt
Filed under: Mangifera indica (mango)
Lineage: Eukaryota; Viridiplantae; Streptophyta; Magnoliopsida; Sapindales; Anacardiaceae
Description: partial 28S ribosomal RNA
Source: RNAcentral
CGACCCCAGGUCAGGCGGGAUCACCCGCUGAGUUUAAGCAUAUCAUA